This 294-nucleotide ribosomal RNA is filed under the name uncultured bacterium. Its description in RNAcentral is "partial 16S ribosomal RNA". It matches the Rfam family "Bacterial small subunit ribosomal RNA", at positions 334 to 625 of the family's 1533-position model. The record is from RNAcentral.
UAUUCCCUACGGGAGGCAGCAGUGAGGAAUAUUGGUCAAUGGGCGCGAGCCUGAACCAGCCAAGUCGCGUGAGGGAAGACGGUCCUAUGGAUUGUAAACCUCUUUUGUCGGGGAGCAAAAGACGCCACGUGUGGCGUUCCGAGAGUACCCGAAGAAAAAGCAUCGGCUAACUCCGUGCCAGCAGUCGCGGUAAUACGGAGGAUGCGAGCGUUAUCCGGAUUUAUUGGGUUUAAAGGGUGCGUAGGCGGGACGGUAAGUCAGCGGUAAAAAUGCGGAGCUCAACUCCGGCGAGCC